ACGCUCAGAACCAGGGCGGCGUCGGAGACGUUGGUCCAGGAGAUGCGGGCCCCGAGGAAGGAGUCUCGCAUGCUGCGGCCGGCAUCCAGCCGGAGGGACAGGUGGUCGCCGCCGGCGAGCUUCUUGGGGCCGGCAGCGGCGGAGAAGAUGUUGGCGUAGUCGGAGUCCUCGAGGGAGGGGAGGGAGGAGACGUACGACACCGCCUUCCGGUAGAGAGGGUUCUCCUGCAGGUUCUCGUUGUACCGGGGGAUCUUGUAGUGCUGGUACGAAUGGAGCCGGUCCUCCAGCUCCCGCCACCGCCGCAC
This 305-nucleotide long non-coding RNA is filed under the name Spirodela polyrhiza (greater duckweed). RNAcentral describes it as "long non-coding RNA (SPOL_LNC000541)". The record is from RNAcentral. Lineage: Eukaryota; Viridiplantae; Streptophyta; Magnoliopsida; Alismatales; Araceae.